This 593-nucleotide ribosomal RNA is filed under the name uncultured Pseudozyma. RNAcentral's name for it is "LSU rRNA". It matches the Rfam family "Eukaryotic large subunit ribosomal RNA", at positions 81 to 655 of the family's 3401-position model. The record is from RNAcentral. Lineage: Eukaryota; Fungi; Basidiomycota; Ustilaginomycetes; Ustilaginales; Ustilaginaceae.
UAGCUACGGCGAGUGAGAGGGAAGAAGCCCAAGAUUGAAAGCUGGCGUCUUCGGCGUCCGCAUUGUAAUCUCAAGAAGUGUUUUCCGCUUCGGACCAAGCCUAAGUCCCCUGGAAAGGGGCAUCAUAGAGGGUGAUAAUCCCGUACAUGGCUUGGAGCGCCCGAGGCUUUGUGAUACGCUUUCUAAGAGUCGAGUUGUUUGGGAAUGCAGCUCAAAAUGGGUGGUAAAUGCCAUCUAAGGCUAAAUAUUGGGGAGAGACCGAUAGCGAACAAGUACAGUGAUGGAAAGAUGAAAAGAACUUUGAAAAGAGAGUUAAACAGUACGUGAAAUUGCCAAAAGGGAAGGGUAGGAGGUCAGAGAUGCGGCCUGGGAUUCAGCCUUGCUUUUGCUUGGUGUUUUUCCCAGAUUGCAGGCCAACGUCGGUUUUGGGCACUGGAGAAGGGCAGGAGGAACGUGGCACCCCUCGGGGUGUGUUAUAGCCUCCUACUGGAUACAGCGACCGAGACCGAGGACAGCAGCGUACUCGCAAGAGCGGGCCUUCGGGCACCUUUACGCUUAGGGCGUUGGCAUAAUGGCCCUCUACCACCCGUCUU